GAUGAAGAACGCAGCGAAAUGCGAUAAGUAGUGUGAAUUGCAGAUUUCAGUGAAUCAUCGAAUCUUUGAACGCACAUUGCGCCCCCUGGUAUUCCGGGGGGCAUGCCUGUCCGAGCGUCAUUGCUGCCCUCAAGCACGGCUUGUGUGUUGGGCCUCCGUCCUCCUCCCGGGGGACGGGCCCGAAAGGCAGCGGCGGCACCGCGUCCGGUCCUCGAGCGUAUGGGGCUUCGUCACCCGCUCUUGUAGGCCCGGCCGGCGCUUGCCGACACAUCAAUCUUUUUUCCAGGUUGCCCUCGGAUCAGGUAGGGAUACCCGCUGAACUUAAGCAUAUCAAUAAGCGGAGGA
Molecule: unclassified non-coding RNA, 345 nt
Filed under: soil metagenome
Description: partial contains 5.8S ribosomal RNA, internal transcribed spacer 2, and large subunit ribosomal RNA
Rfam family: 5.8S ribosomal RNA (bases 1-120)
Source: RNAcentral